Molecule: long non-coding RNA, 251 nt
Organism: Cotesia glomerata
Lineage: Eukaryota; Metazoa; Arthropoda; Insecta; Hymenoptera; Braconidae
Exons: 2
Source: RefSeq, a predicted model, not a curated record
UAAUUAAACCAUAUGUUUGGAAAAUUUUACAUCAAAUGGUGAAGGCCGCGAUGGAGGAGUCAUUCCUUCACCUUGAUUAUCAUUAAAAUCCAAGGGUAAUUCUCCUAAUUCAAACUCCUGUUAGUGAGUCAGCGCACGGACCCAUUGUAUCCACAACAAUCUAUCUUGCGAUCUGGCGAUUCUCAUGACAUGAUAAUUCUGAUCAUCAGAAUUAUAAUAGUAAGUACAAGUAAUUGGGUCAAUGCUACUUU